GAUGAACGCUGGCGGCGUGCUUAACACAUGCAAGUCGAACGGAAAGGCCCAAGCUUGCUUGGGUACUCGAGUGGCGAACGGGUGAGUAACACGUGGGUGAUCUGCCCUGCACUUCGGGAUAAGCCUGGGAAACUGGGUCUAAUACCGGAUAGGACCACUUCUUGGAUGUUGUGGUGGAGAGUUUUCUCGGUGUGGGAUGAGCUCGCGGCCUAUCAGCUUGUUGGUGGGGUAAUGGCCUACCCAGGCGUCGACGGGUAGCCGGCCUGGGAGGGUGUACGGCCACAUUGGGACUGAGAUACGGCCCAGACUCCUACGGGGGGCAGCAGUGGGGAAUAUUGCACAAUGGGCGCAAGCCUGAUGCAGCGACGCCGCGUGGGGGAUGACGGCCUUCGGGUUGUAAACUCCUUUCGCUAGGGACGAAGCGUUUUUGUGACGGUACCUGGAGAAGAAGCACCGGCUAACUACGU
Molecule: ribosomal RNA, 467 nt
Filed under: uncultured bacterium
Lineage: Bacteria
Description: partial 16S ribosomal RNA
Rfam family: Bacterial small subunit ribosomal RNA
Source: RNAcentral